CCCGGAUAGCUCAGUCGGUAGAGCAUCAG
RNAcentral lists this non-coding RNA (29 nucleotides) under Xenopus tropicalis (tropical clawed frog). Lineage: Eukaryota; Metazoa; Chordata; Amphibia; Anura; Pipidae. RNAcentral also lists the same sequence under 6 other names. The record is from RNAcentral.